Molecule: non-coding RNA, 103 nt
Filed under: unclassified sequences
Description: c-di-GMP sequence
Rfam family: c-di-GMP-II-GAG riboswitch aptamer
Source: Rfam by way of RNAcentral
GCAGAUCGAGGAAGCGACGACCCGCGACCGUCCCGAACGGUCACCUUCAUCCCCUCGGGGAGACGGUCGCGGCGAGCUAGUGGUGAGACCGGCCUCGAUCGUG